UUGUAAAACAACUUGUAUUGAAAUAAAGAGCAAUAUUUGAAUUAGUAUUCAUUUUUACAUACUUAAUUAAUAAAUGUGAAUGUGGAAAACUUAAAAAUAUUCCCUACUUAAAAUAUCAUUAUUGUCAUUGGGUAUUCAUCGUUUUCUCAAUACCAAUAAGUCGACUCCCUCGAUUUAUUGGCAUUGAGCAAACGACAAGUGUACAUACCAUUCUCCUGUUAUAUCCUUUCUAUAUAUCGGUCUAAUUACACUAAUUGUCGAAAAAUGAUCUGUUUUUUUAUUGUUCAUUCUAGCUUCUGUAUUUUUUUUAUAAUAAUUAUUAUAUAUAUAUAUUUGAGGACAAAAGUCUCCAUAUUGGCAGUUCAGACUGUUCUCAAUAAUUUUAUCCAGUAAAAUCCUCGCCAUGUCUAGAUAUUUUAUCACCUGAGGAAACAUCAGAAAAUAGCGCCCUCUCUCUUCUUCAUUCACGUUCUUUCAUAUUUAAAAUAAAAUUGAUACAUAAUUAACAAAUCACAUGACCAAAUUAGUAACACUUACAGUUAAGUGGAUCCGACAUGACUCACAGCUGGCGACCAUUUAGAUGUCAAAUGCCUUACCAAAUUUUUAUAUACAAUAUUUUUGAUGUACUGUAUAAUAAUUAUAUCGAAAAUAUUUUGUUAUUAAAUACGAAAAUUCCAAUAUUUACUUUAUAAAAUAAACUAAUACUAUAUUUUUAUCUAUACAUAAUACCUAAUAUUAUUUUUGUGAAGUUCCCGUGACCGAUGGACGAAUGUUACAGGCUUAUGUUAUAGGCCGUAGGUCUCGGAUGUCCUUCAUAAAAGCAUUUUAUUUAAAGCUUUCGCUGAGAGAUAAAUGCAAUAGCCUGAUGAAUACUAUAAUACUUUAGUUUUAAAAAAGUAUAAUGAAGUCGAAGCUCAAAUUACAAAUCCUCUUAAGAAUCAACAGUGAAACGAUGCCAAGUAUAUGUCAAGAAGUUAACCAAUUACCAUUUUUAUUACUACUAAACGUAAAACACCUGAAAAUAACUACUAUGCCCGAAAUGGCGUACUCGCAUACGCCCGAAUGUCAUUUGUACAAAUGUAAAUUCCUGAAUAUAGACAUGGAUAAAGUUUUUGUCGAGUGUCAAAUUAAAAAUUAUUUGGAGAGCCGCUAGGAAAAAAUUUAACAAAACAAUAUCAAUAAAAUCGUUGGAAAUGUUUAAAAUAUGAUAGUUUUAUUUUAUAAGUUUUUCAAUAUCUGGAUUAAAUUACCUGUGGUGUUAUGAUAAUGC
This 1270-nucleotide long non-coding RNA is filed under the name Androctonus crassicauda. The record is from RNAcentral. Lineage: Eukaryota; Metazoa; Arthropoda; Arachnida; Scorpiones; Buthidae.